GCCCAGUAUUUCCCUAUCUCCUGUCUGUAUCAAAAAGAAUUUCACGCCCGCUAAGAUGGCGAUGGCUACGGCAGCAACGGCGGCGGCUGUUGCCGGCCCGGGACCCUAGGGACGGGGGCCGAGUAGCGCCUUCCCCGGGCCCCGUGAACCGGCUGCGGGUCGCCCUUGGGGGGCAGCGGCCGCAGCCCCCCACCCGGGCCCUCGGUCUGCCCUCCCGGCGCGUCCAUGAACUCGGUGUUGCCGGCCGCCGCGCAGUACCGGAGCAGCAGCCCGGAGGACGCGCGCCGCCCGCCCGAGGCCCAGACCCCAACGGCUUGGGGCCCUCCGGAGCCAGCGGCCCCGCUCUUGGCUCUCCCGGGGCUGGCCGGAGUGAGCCGGACGAAGUGGACAAGUUCAAGGCCAAGUUCCUGACAGCCUGGAACAACGUCAAGUACGGUCGGGUGGUUAAAAGCCGGACCAGCUUUAGCAAGAUCUCCAGCAUCCAUCUCUGUGGCUGCCGCUACCGUUUCGAGGGCGAGGGUGACAUACAGCGUUUCCAGCGGGACUUUGUGUCCCGCCUGUGGCUCACAUACCGCCGGGACUUCCCGCCCCUUCCCGGGGGCUGCCUGACCUCGGACUGUGGCUUGGGGUGCAUGUUACGCAGCGGCCAGAUGAUGCUGGCACAGGGCCUGCUGCUGCAUUUCCUGCCCAGAGACUGGACAUGGGCCGAGGGCACGGGCCUGGGCCCCCCUGAGCUGUCAGGGUCAGCCUUUCCCAGCAGGUACCAUGGGCCUGCCCGCUGGAUGCCCCCACGCUGGGCCCAGGGUGCCCCUGAGCUGGAGCAGGAAGGCCGGCACCGGCAGAUUGUGUCCUGGUUCGCCGACCACCCCCGGGCCCCCUUUGGCCUACACGGGCUGGUGGAGCUUGGACAGAGCUCAGGCAAGAAGGCAGGUGACUGGUAUGGGCCAUCGCUGGUGGCACACAUCCUCAGGAAAGCCGUGGAGAGCUGCUCCGAGGUCACCCGCCUGGUGGUGUACGUUUCUCAGGACUGCACAGUGUACAAGGAGGAUGUGGCACGCCUGGUGGCCAGGCCAGACCCCACAGCCGAGUGGAAGUCUGUGGUCAUCCUGGUGCCCGUGCGACUGGGUGGCGAGACUCUCGACCCCGUGUAUGUGCCCUGCAUGAAGGAGCUCCUGCGCUGCCAGCUGUGCUUGGGCAUCAUGGGUGGGAAACCGCGACACUCACUGUACUUCGUUGGCUACCAAGAUGACUUCCUGCUGUACCUGGACCCUCACUACUGCCAGCCCACUGUGGAUGUCAGCCAGGCUGACUUCCCCCUGGAGUCCUUCCACUGCACCUCGCCCCGCAAGAUGGCCUUCGCCAAGAUGGACCCAAGCUGUACUGUGGGCUUCUAUGCUGGAGACAGGAAGGAGUUUGAGACACUCUGCCCAGAGCUGACCAAGGUCCUCAGCUCCUCCUCAGCCACGGAGCGGUACCCCAUGUUCAACCUGGCCGAGAGCCAUGCUCAGGACCACAGCCUGGACGACUUCUGCUCCCAGCUCUCCCAGCCCACACUCCAGCUCCCUCGCACAGGGCGGCUCCUCAGGGCCAAACGCCCCAGCUCUGAGGACUUUGUGUUUUCAUAAAGGGAGGGGAUGAGGGGAAAGAUGCAACACUAUUUAUUUUUUUAUGUAUGUCAUGUCAGGUGUGGGAUCUUGAGCUCUGGCAGUGAUGAUGGUACUUCCUGUUCUCAGUCCCUCAAGCCCAACUGCAACCAGUCUGGGGCCAUUCAGCCAGGGACAGAGCCCAUAUGCACCUGUCUCCCACCAGCGGGGCCCUCCUGGCAGGGGAGGGAGGGAGGACCCCGGGCACCCCCCUCAGGGCCUGACUCACGUACUGUAGUUUGCACUGGAUGCCCGGGCCCUCCCUGUCCCAAAGCCCCCUUGGGGGAACUGUGGCUGCUGGGGGCCAAUAAAGCUGUGUGACUUGAAAAAAAAAAAAAAAAAAA
Nomascus leucogenys (northern white-cheeked gibbon) is the source of this 1987-nucleotide RNA transcript. It is a transcript of the gene named cysteine protease ATG4D pseudogene, with no coding region annotated. The transcript has a single exon. Lineage: Eukaryota; Metazoa; Chordata; Mammalia; Primates; Hylobatidae. The record is from RefSeq and is a predicted model, not a curated record.